CACUCAAUCUAGCAACAAGGUAAUCAAGGAUGCAAGUGAACAAUAAACUUUAAAAUAUUUUAAAAUUAAUUUCUUGUCACUGAUCAGGAUCACUAAUAUGUUAAAAUUUCCACAUCUCUAGUUCUCGCUCCUAAGUGAUUUUUGUAUCAUGGUAACUUUUUUUAUUGGGUAUGAGUAACUUUUUGCAUUGUUGAUUGGUAAAUCUUUAGUAGUGGACUAGUAACUUUAAUGUCACAUACUGAUGGUUCUUGUUUUGAUGAUUGGUAACUUAGGCAUGUUAGACUGGAUAAUUUGUGGUAACGAAGGGAUAAUUUUGAUACUUUUGACGAAUAAUUUUAUAGCAGUAAAGUAGUAAGUUUGACCAUAGGCAAAAAAUGAGAUAAGUAAAUGGUCCAAGCAAUAAGCAUAUAAGCUUUUCAAGCCUGUCCAAAGAGGGAAUACUAGUUAUAAAAUUCUUCCAAAUGCUUACUGAACAAACAAAUGGUUGGUCACAAACACAAAACAACCAAGACUACUUUCAUCUAUACAUAAAGAACAAAGGCUUCCAAUCCAAAUAUAAUGAUCAUACAGCAAAACAAAAAAUUUAAAAGAUGUAAGCCUUGACCUCCCAGCUUCUUCAACAAACACUAUCACCAGUAUCACCCAUCACUGGAGCAAUCAGCCACCAAUUC
Molecule: long non-coding RNA, 671 nt
Filed under: Phoenix dactylifera (date palm)
Lineage: Eukaryota; Viridiplantae; Streptophyta; Magnoliopsida; Arecales; Arecaceae
Description: long non-coding RNA (PDAC_LNC019288)
Source: RNAcentral